Molecule: ribosomal RNA, 497 nt
Filed under: uncultured bacterium
Lineage: Bacteria
Description: partial 16S ribosomal RNA
Rfam family: Bacterial small subunit ribosomal RNA
Source: RNAcentral
GAUGAACGCUGGCGGCGUGCCUAAUACAUGCAAGUCGAGCGAACGGACGAGAAGCUUGCUUCUCUGAUGUUAGCGGCGGACGGGUGAGUAACACGUGGAUAACCUACCUAUAAGACUGGGAUAACUUCGGGAAACCGUAGCUAAUACCGGAUAAUAUUUUGAACCGCAUGGUUCAAAAGUGAAAGACGGUCUUGCUGUCACUUAUAGAUGGAUCCGCGCUGCAUUAGCUAGUUGGUAAGGUAACGGCUUACCAAGGCAACGAUGCAUAGCCGACCUGAGAGGGUGAUCGGCCACACUGGAACUGAGACACGGUCCAGACUCCUACGGGAGGCAGCAGUAGGGAAUCUUCCGCAAUGGGCGAAAGCCUGACGGAGCAACGCCGCGUGAGUGAUGAAGGUCUUCGGAUCGUAAAACUCUGUUAUUAGGGAAGAGCAUAUGUGUAAGUAACUGUGCACAUCUUGACGGUACCUAAUCAGAAAGCCACGGCUAACUACGUG